This 119-nucleotide ribosomal RNA is filed under the name Echinops telfairi (small Madagascar hedgehog). Lineage: Eukaryota; Metazoa; Chordata; Mammalia; Afrosoricida; Tenrecidae. The record is from RNAcentral.
GUCUAUGGACAGACCUCCCUAAAAAUACCUAAUCUCUUCUGAUGUUGGAAGCUAUGCAGGGCCAGCCCUGGAUAAUAGUUGGAUGGGUGAUCAUUUGGGAAUAUCAGGUGCUGUAGGUU